UACGGAGGGGACUAGCGUUGUUCGGAAUCACUGGGCGUAAAGGGUGCGUAGGCGGGUCUUUAAGUCAGGGGUGAAAUCCUGGAGCUCAACUCCAGAACUGCCUUUGAUACUGAAGAUCUUGAGUUCGGGAGAGGUGAGUGGAACUGCGAGUGUAGAGGUGAAAUUCGUAGAUAUUCGCAAGAACACCAGUGGCGAGGGCGGCUCACUGGCCCGAUACUGACGCUGAGGCACGAAAGCGUGGGGAGCAAACAGG
This 253-nucleotide ribosomal RNA is filed under the name uncultured bacterium. RNAcentral's name for it is "partial 16S ribosomal RNA". It matches the Rfam family "Bacterial small subunit ribosomal RNA", at positions 524 to 776 of the family's 1533-position model. The record is from RNAcentral.